GGCUUCUCAAGUUGGAUGAGCAUCAAGAUCACCUGCAGAAGUCUUUUAAAAUUUGACAGUCUAUGCAUAGCCCUAGAUCUGCUAAAUGAAUUCCAGGAUCUCCAUGAAACCCAGCAUCCAUGCAAACAUGAUGAGAACUGACUUAAACCCUUAGCAGCUAAUAAGCUAGCUACUAAUUAUUGUCUUUACAAAUUUAACAAAUACAGGCGGGAGUAUUUAGGAAGAUUUCCAGAACAGAGGAAAGAGAUACAGAUAGAAAUGUAGAAAGAAAAGGUUAUAUUUCUGGUAGCAUUUUUUAAGAACAAUCUCUGACCUUUGUAUUUAUCUUUGUAUAUAACUUUAGAUUCUGUACUGUAAAAAAUUAGCACCUUAUGUCUUUUUUGCCCCUAUGCUAUGGAUUUUCAAAUAUGGGAGAAUUAGAAAAUGCUAUGAAUUAUCAUUUCUAUUAUUCCUUGUAGUCUUUUAUCUUUGGUGAGAACAAUUCUCUAGAUACUGCAGAGAUUUUAUAGCUUGUCACGGUUUCUACUAUAUUAAGAAUCAAGUCUAACAAAAUCAGAAUAGAUGCUAAGCCUGGAAACCCACAGGAAACAUGUUAUUCUUCAGUGUUUGCAAAGCACUGAUCAAAAACGUCUCUUCUCUCAAUCUCGCUUUCUUCUUUUCAUUUACUAACUAGGCUUUUGAGCCUCACAAGACUUUGAGAUUUUAUGGAUAUGAAACCUGCUAUCGUUUAGCUUCCUGCCUCUGGGAAUAGUACAGACCGGGUUCCACCAUGUUGGACGGGCUGGUCUUGAACUCCUGACCUCAGGUGAUCCACCCGCCUUGACCUCCGAAAGUGCUGGGAUUACAGGUGUGAGCCACCAUGCCAAGCCUAUCUACUAUUUUAUCUGACAUGCCUCUUCCCCUUCUGCCAUGACUUUACGUUUCCUGAGUCCUCCCCAGCCAUGCAGAACUACAUGGAUUCUCACUGUGACACCCAGGCUGGAGUGCAGUGGUAUGAUCAUAGGUGACUACAGUCUCGAAUUCCUGGGCUCAAGCAAGCCUUUCACCUCAGCCUCCCCAGAAGCUGGGAUUACAGGCUCAGUUUCAGACCGGAAUCUAUACCAUCAACUCCCCAGCCAUCGAGCCUUUGAACUGUUCCAUUGACUUUUCUGGGUUUCUAGCCUGAAGAUGGCUGAUUGUGGGACUUCUCACCCUCCAUAGUCAAGUGAGUCAAUACCUUAUGAUAAAUCUCCUUAUAUAUACACAUUUGACCCUUCAACAAUAUGGAUUUGAACUGAAUGAAUGAAUAUACAUGCACAGAUUUUUUUUUUCAACAAAUAUAUUGGAAAAAUUUUGGAGAUUUGUGACAAUUUGAAAAAACUCACAGAUGAGCUGUGGAGUCUAGAAAUCUCAAGAGACUUAAGAAAAAGUUAGGCCGGGCGCGGUGGCUCAAGCCUGUAAUCCCAGCACUUUGGGAGGCCGAGACGGGCGGAUCACGAGGUCAGGAGAUCGAGACCAUCCUGGCUAACAUGGUGAAACCCCGUCUCUACUAAAAAUACAAAAAACUAGCCGGGCGAGGUGGCGGGCGCCUGUAGUCCCAGCUACUCGGGAGGCUGAGGCAGGAGAAUGGCGGGAACCCGGGAGGCGGAGCUUGCAGUGAGCUGAGACCCCGCCAAAACAACCAAACCCGGGGAAAAAAAGAGAACCCCCGACAAAAAAAAAAAAAAAAAAAAAAAAAAAAGAAAAAGUUAAGUAUGUCAUGAAUACAUAAAAUAUAUGUAGAUAUUUGUCUGUUUUAUCAUUGACUACCAUAAAAUAUACAUAAAUCCAUUAUUUAAACAUUACCCCACAAACACAGACCAUACACAGUGACAUUCAGUCAAGAGUAAACAAAUGUAAAGAUGCAGUAUUAAAUCAUAACUGCAUAAAUUAGCUAUAGUAAAUACUAUAUUACUGUAAUAAUUUCACAGCCACCUCCUGUUGCUAUUACCCUGAGCUCAAGUGUUGGGAGUAUUUGCUUAAAAUGCCCUGUGAUGCUAAACUCUUCUGCCAAGCAGUUCGUCUGUUCAGUAAAUUGCAUGUCAUAGUAAAAAGUCAUCUCUCAUGGCUAUUGCUUGUUUUUCAUCAUGUUUAGUGUAAUACCAUAAACCUUAAAUAACACCAUGGGACUCAUAUUAAGUGCCACUAGUGUUGCUGGAAGUGCUCCCAAGAAGCAGAGAAAAUGACAUUAAAAACAAGUUGAAUUACUUGAUAUGCACCCUAGAUUGGUCUGCAGCUGCAGUUUCCCACCAUUUUAGACAAUUCAUCUUGUAAUCAAAUUACAUAAACUUAGAUAUAAAUAAAUACAGUACAGCAUUGUACAUGUAUUUUCUCUUCCUUAUGACUUUCUUAAUAUUUUUUCUCUAUCUUAAUGUAAAAAGACAGUAUACAAUACAUAUAACAUAUAAAAUAUGUGUUCUUCAACCAUGUUAUCAGUAAGACUUCUGGAUAAUACUAGGCCAUUAGUAGUUACAUUUUGGGGGAGUCAAGUUAUACAAAGAUGUUUGCCUAUUUGGGGGGUGAGCUCUGGGAUUAAGGGGUAAGGUGGGUUGGUGCCCCUAACCUCAACUUUUUCAGGAGUCAGCUCAACAAAGUUUACAGAAUUAGAAGUGCUAAAAUUAUAUUAUUAGUCCUACUUUCAUUAUUAUAUUUUAUUUUGUCAUCAAUAACACUAGCAUUCAUUCAAACCCUAAAAGGUUUCUAAAUAAUUGUUUAUCUAGAGCCACAACUGAGAAUAAUGCCUUAGCAUUUUACUUCUUUAUAUCUCCCUUCUCAUAAUUGUGUUUUUUCUUCCCUUUACUUCUGUACUAGUAUUUCUUAUACUCACUCACCGUUCAUAUUUUAAAAGAUACUUUUAUAACUGUAAUUAAUGUCUAUGACUUCUUGGUAUAUAAGUAGUAAGAAAAUUAAAUGUUGUUUACUUUAGUCAUUCACAAUCAAAUUGCUUAAAACUAAUAAGAAAACAAUGGAAAAACUGGGAUGACCAUCUAAAUUAAGCCUCCAAGUCUCCUGAAGGAGUCAUGAGGAAACAUGUACAUACAUUUAAAAACCAAUUUUUAACGUUUAGGAAAUGAAAGUUCCGGUCGGGUGUGGUGGCUCAUGCCUGUAAUCCCAGCACUCUGGGAGGCCGAGGCGGGUGGAUCAUGAGUUCAGGAGUUCAGGAGUUCACCUGGCCAACAUGGUGAAACCCUGUCUCUACUGAAAAUACAAAAAUUAGCCCGGUGUGGUGGCAUGUGCGUGUAGUCCCAGCUACUCGGGAGGCUGAUGUGGGAGAAUUGCUUGAACCCAGGAGGCAAAGGUUGCAGUGAGCCAAGACCAUGCCAUUGCACACCAGCCUGGGUGACAGAGUAAGACUGUCUCGAAAAGGAAAAAAGAAAUGAAAGUUCUGGAUAGUUUAUUAAUAUAUUUAAGGAAAACUAAUGCUAGAGUUUUAUUUUGCCUUAUAGGUUCAGUAAUAAAAAGAUUAACAAAGUUUUCAUAAGAUAAUCUAAUAUUUUUCUAUAGCACUCCCUUUGAUUGGGCCACAGAUUUUGAUUUGACUUGUACACACACACACCUGUAAACAUGUGAUGUUUAUGGGUGGUUAACUAUAUAUUUAACUUUAUAUGUAUAAGUACCUAACCGUACAUUUAAAAAAAAUAUUUACUUAAGAAAGCAUUAUGUGCUAGAUUAUAAUUUUUUUAAAGUGUUGUAUCUCUAUAUUUUUUCUCAGUGUGUAUAUAUUUUACUUUUUAAAUACCAGUAAUAUGGUAAAAUUUCUAAGGCUUAUGUCUCCAUUUGCUUAGGACUUCAUAACUGUAUAUCCUUUAAGGCUAAGUAUUGAUUGACACAAAGAAAGCCCUGGGAACCUAUUAAUGUAUAGUAUUAUACAUGGAUACUGUUGAUAUUCU
RNAcentral lists this long non-coding RNA (3908 nucleotides) under Papio anubis (olive baboon). RNAcentral's name for it is "lncRNA (ENSPANG00000043310.1)". Lineage: Eukaryota; Metazoa; Chordata; Mammalia; Primates; Cercopithecidae. The record is from RNAcentral.